CUUUGAUCGACAUACGGAUCAAGGCGGAAGGAG
This 33-nucleotide non-coding RNA is filed under the name unclassified sequences. RNAcentral's name for it is "L31-Firmicutes ribosomal protein leader". It matches the Rfam family "L31-Firmicutes ribosomal protein leader". The record is from RNAcentral.